AGAGUUUGAUCAUGGCUCAGAUUGAACGCUGGCGGCAGGCCUAACACAUGCAAGUCGAGCGGUAGAGAGAAGCUUGCUUCUCUUGAGAGCGGCGGACGGGUGAGUAAUGCCUAGGAAUCUGCCUGGUAGUGGGGGAUAACGUUCGGAAACGAACGCUAAUACCGCAUACGUCCUACGGGAGAAAGCAGGGGACCUUCGGGCCUUGCGCUAUCAGAUGAGCCUAGGUCGGAUUAGCUAGUUGGUGGGGUAAUGGCUCACCAAGGCGACGAUCCGUAACUGGUCUGAGAGGAUGAUCAGUCACACUGGAACUGAGACACGGUCCAGACUCCUACGGGAGGCAGCAGUGGGGAAUAUUGGACAAUGGGCGAAAGCCUGAUCCAGCCAUGCCGCGUGUGUGAAGAAGGUCUUCGGAUUGUAAAGCACUUUAAGUUGGGAGGAAGGGCCAUUACCUAAUACGUGAUGGUUUUGACGGUUUACCGACAGAGAUAAGCACCGGCUAACUCUGUGCCAGCAGCCGCGGUAAUACAGAGGGUGCAAGCGUUAAUCGGAAUUACUGGGCGUAAAGCGCGCGUAGGUGGUUUGUUAAGUUGGAUGUGAAAUCCCCGGGCUCAACCUGGGAACUGCCAUUCAAAACUGACUGACUAGAGUAUGGUAGAGGGUGGGUGGAAUUUCCUGUGUAGCGGUGAAAUGCGUAGAUAUAGGAAGGAACACCAGUGGGCGGAAAGCGACCACCUGGACUGAUACUGACACUGAGGUGCGAAAGCGUGGGGGAGCAAACAGGAUUAGAUACCCUGGUAGUCCACGCCGUAAACGAUGUCAACUAGCCGUUGGGAGCCUUGAGCUCUUAGUGGCGCAGCUAACGCAUUAAGUUGACCGCCUGGGGAGUACGGCCGCAAGGUUAAAACUCAAAUGAAUUGACGGGGCCCGCACAAGCGGUGGGAGCAUGUGGUUUAAUUCGAAGCAACGCGAAGAACCUUACCAGGCCUUGACAUCCAAUGAACUUUCUAGAGAUAGAUUGGUGCCUUUCCGGAACAUUGGAGACAGGUGCUGCAUGGCUGUUCGUCAGCUCGUGUCGUGAGAUGUUGGGUUAAGUCCCGUAACGAGUGCAACCCCUUGGUCCUUAGUUACCAGCACGUUAUGGUGGGCACUCUAAGGAGACUGCCGGUGACAAACCGGAGGAAGGUGGGGAUGACGUCAAGUCAUCAUGGCCCUUACGGCCUGGGCUACACACGUGCUACAAUGGUCGGUACAGAGGGUUGCCAAGCCGCGAGGUGGAGCUAAUCCCAUAAAACCGAUCGUAGUCCGGAUCGCAGUCUGCAACUCGACUGCGUGAAGUCGGAAUCGCUAGUAAUCGCGAAUCAGAAUGUCGCGGUGAAUACGUUCCCGGGCCUUGUACACACCGCCCGUCACACCAUGGGAGUGGGUUGCACCAGAAGUAGCUAGUCUAACCUUCGGGAGGACGGUUACCACGGUGUGAUUCAUGACUGGGGUGAAGUCGUAACAAGGUAGCC
RNAcentral lists this ribosomal RNA (1511 nucleotides) under uncultured bacterium. Its description in RNAcentral is "bacterial SSU rRNA". It matches the Rfam family "Bacterial small subunit ribosomal RNA". The record is from RNAcentral.